RNAcentral lists this transfer RNA (77 nucleotides) under Streptomyces fructofermentans. RNAcentral's name for it is "tRNA-Pro". The record is from RNAcentral. Lineage: Bacteria; Bacillati; Actinomycetota; Actinomycetes; Kitasatosporales; Streptomycetaceae.
CGGGCCGGCGGCGGGGCGCCGCCCACCCCGCUCGGGCCCGGGUCCGGACGGCCCGGGUCCGGUCCCUGCGGCCCGGC